UCUCCUUUCACCUCCCCAACCCCAUGAGCCGUAGGAAAUUUGAUUUUGAAAUGAGGUAUUGAUGUUACAGCUUGCAAAGCAAUUAAAGUGGGCCUCCCCAAAAUAGCAUUAUAAGCAGAAUCUACAUGCACAACAUAAAAUUUGCAAAUAAUUUCUACCUGUUGAGGGGCCGUUCCAAAUACAACUGGCAGUUCAAUGGUCCCAACCACCUUAACCGGAUCAUUGCUGAAACCAUAAAGAGGAGCCUCCUGCCCUAUUUCCAUCUUUUGCCCGUCCAGAUUCAUCCUUUGAUAAGCAUGGGCAUACAGGAUGUCCACAGAAGACCCAUUAUCUACCAUCAUCCUUUUCAUAUCCACCGAACCCACUUGUGCAGUCAGCACCAAUGAUCCCUCGUGCGGUUCGAUGACUUCCGAAGGGUAAUCCU
Molecule: long non-coding RNA, 424 nt
Filed under: Panax ginseng (ginseng)
Lineage: Eukaryota; Viridiplantae; Streptophyta; Magnoliopsida; Apiales; Araliaceae
Description: long non-coding RNA (PGIN_LNC013883)
Source: RNAcentral